Long non-coding RNA from Brassica oleracea var. oleracea, 1710 nucleotides. RefSeq lists it as uncharacterized. The transcript has 5 exons. NCBI's taxonomy places the organism in Eukaryota, Viridiplantae, Streptophyta, Magnoliopsida, Brassicales, Brassicaceae. The record is from RefSeq and is a predicted model, not a curated record.
UCGGCGUUUUGUGUUUGACAAGCUUAGGGUUUCAUUGUUAUUUCUUCGACUCUUCGACCUCGCCGUCUCAAACACAAUGUUCUUUUCCUGAAAUCUUCCAUUUCAUUCAACUUAUUCCUCUAAAUAUUGCCGAUCACUGUUUUUCUCAUUAAACCCAAAAACAAUGUCGACCUCUCCGUUUCAUUCAUGUCUGAAUUGGAGAGUCUUAUAGUCGGAUGAAUCCUCACCAUCACUCUCAUUUAAACUUCUUAAUCAAACUUGUAAAAUUCUUCCAUAACGUCUUCUUCCGAUGUUGUUGCUUAAUCAGCCGACGCUCUCCGCUAUCAUCGCAGUUCAUUGUCACUCGGCUUCUCUGUUUUUGGAACUCGAAAAACAUCAAGAAGUAUGAUUGUCUCUCAUCACACUGCAAGAAACUAUAUGAAGUCAAAGAAGACAAAUAAGAGUUUGAUUUCAAGGUGGUCACCGAGACUGAGCGUGAUUAUGUCCUGUUGAGCUUUAUGGCUUGGCCAAAGACGAGUCUGAUUACGGAUGAUACACAACAAGGUAAGUAAGCUUACAAGUGGAUUUAUUUUUAUGAAUCAGAAUUUUAAAAAGAACUUAUCAAAAAGAAACAUACGAAUAGACAAACCUACUGUUAGAGUUGCUAGCCUUGGCCACGCGUUGCAUGUCUGGCUCAAUUGAGAAUACCUUGGUAGAUGUAAUGAACAAUAUUUGAAAUAUCUGUUCCAGGCAUACUUUGAUGCGCCAGGGGUUUAGUAAUAUUAAGUUUUCUUUUUCCAUCUGAAGAAGAUUCUUUAACGAAAUAAGGAAAAGAAAUUAGUAUUCCUCUUAGUAUCACUAGACAUGAAAAGAAUUUUUUUGUGCUCACUUCACCACCACAGGUUAGUAUCUAACUUAGCACCAACAUCAUAUGCUCAUUUGGUAUUCCUCUUACUAUCACUAGACAUUAUAGACUGUAGAAUUUCUAUUACUGGGUAAGUUGAUAACACUGAAACAUCAAAUGGGUGGUGCUAUAUCUCAUGUUCCAAGUGCUCUUGGAAACUGCAGCGUGGGCUUCAUCCUUCGUGUGUGGAUCCUAUCAUGAUGAAAAAGCUGUUGGCAUUUCGUCUCUCUCUUUGAUGACAAGUACCGGGUGGAGAUGGCAGUAUCAGAUGCAUCCGACUCUGCUCUGUUUGAGGCUUUCGAUGAUGAGAUGAACAAGCUGACCAAUGUUCCUGCUGCAUGAGUGUCUCAAGGCAUGUUAUUUGUGAUUGUCCAGCCGGCAUGGAGGAUGCACAUAACAUUGCCCUCCCACAGUGCCUCAGAGUUAUACUGGAGAGGGCCUUAACAUUCCAGCAGAAACUUUCAAGGUUUAAUUUCUCAUCAAAACAUCAGUCAUUCACCUCAACCAGCGCUUCCUCUUCCUGAUUUUGCAGAGCAGGGAGGUGAUGACAACACCGGCAAUGAUGUUCCAGGAGCUGUAUAUAGAGAUACUUCUGAAGCUCUUUAAAUAGGUGCUCCAGUCAACAACGGCGAACCCAUUACUUAUGUUCGCAAUGGUUAAGCUUCAGAUUAUUGGAGCCUAAUGGAAUGUUGCAGACUUUUACAGCUGCUUUUUGUCGUUUUCCUUAAAAAAAUCCUUAAUAAAUAUGUGUACUUGAGCUAUUCGGCUCUGUAUUUCAGAUGACUUAGAAAAGAGCCUCCUUCAACUAUUUUAUUUGCACUUGAGCU